This 255-nucleotide ribosomal RNA is filed under the name uncultured bacterium. Its description in RNAcentral is "partial 16S ribosomal RNA". It matches the Rfam family "Bacterial small subunit ribosomal RNA", at positions 524 to 777 of the family's 1533-position model. The record is from RNAcentral.
UACGGAGGUGGCAAGCGUUGUUCGGAAUUACUGGGCGUAAAGGGCGCGUAGGCGGCCAGCGCAAGUCAGUUGUGAAAUCUCCGGGCUUAACUCGGAACGGUCAACUGAUACUGCGCGGCUAGAGUGCAGAAGGGGCAACUGGAAUUCUCGGUGUAGCGGUGAAAUGCGUAGAUAUCGAGAGGAACACCUGCGGCGAAGGCGGGUUGCUGGGCUGAUACUGACGCUGAGGCGCGAAAGCCAGGGGAGCGAACGGGG